GUCUAUAACUAUGCUACCCUAAACAUGCCUGAUCUUGUCUGAUCUCCAAAGCUAAGUGGGGUUGGUCCUGGCUAGCUCUGUGAUGGGAG
Ictidomys tridecemlineatus (thirteen-lined ground squirrel) is the source of this 89-nucleotide ribosomal RNA. NCBI's taxonomy places the organism in Eukaryota, Metazoa, Chordata, Mammalia, Rodentia, Sciuridae. The record is from Ensembl.